RNAcentral lists this unclassified non-coding RNA (203 nucleotides) under Hevea brasiliensis (rubber tree). The record is from RNAcentral. Lineage: Eukaryota; Viridiplantae; Streptophyta; Magnoliopsida; Malpighiales; Euphorbiaceae.
GUGAAAGUUUGGGCAAUUGGUUUUCUUCUUGCGAUAAACUUGGGAUUGCUGCAGAGCAUGGCUAUUUUAUGAGGUGGUCUGCUGAUAAGGACUGGGAAAAUUGUGGUCAAGGUAGUGAUUUUGGCUGGAUACAGAUUGCAGAGCCAGUCAUGAAAUUAUAUACAGAAGCUACUGACGGGUCUUCCAUUGAAACCAAGGAAAGU